AAUAGAUACCCGGGUAGUCCACGCCGUAAACGAUGGAUGCUAGCUGUAGGGGGUAUCGACCCCUUCUGUAGCGAAGCUAACGCGUUAAGCAUCCCGCCUGUGGAGUACGGCCGCAAGGCUAAAACAUAAAGGAAUUGACGGGGACCCGCACAAGCGGUGGAUCGUGUUCUUUAAUUCGAUGAUAAACGGAGAACCUUACCAGGGCUUGACAUCCUUGGAAUUUCUGCGAAAGCAGUUAGUGCCUUUUGGAACCAAGUGACAGGUGAUGCAUGGCCGUCGUCAGCUCGUGUCGUGAGAUGUUUGGUUAAGUCCAUCAACGAGCGCAACCCUUAUGUUUAGUUGUAUUUUUCUAAACAGACUGCCCGGUAACGGGGAGGAAGGAGGGGAUGAUGUCAGGUCAGUAUUCCCUUAGUCCUGGGCUAGAAACACGAUACAAUGGCUAGUACAAUGCGCAGCGAAGCCGCGAGGUGGAGCAAAUCGCACCAAAGCUAGUCCCAGUUCGGAUUGAGCUGAAACUCGCUCAUGAAGUCGAAUCGCU
Molecule: ribosomal RNA, 538 nt
Filed under: uncultured bacterium
Lineage: Bacteria
Description: bacterial SSU rRNA
Rfam family: Bacterial small subunit ribosomal RNA
Source: RNAcentral